GGGGGCGUUACGGAUUCGACAGGCAUUGUCGCGCAUGAACUGCAACUGCUGAGGGAUCAGGAUAAUCAUCCGCAGAUAAAUAUAACUGCUAAAAAUAAUACACAAACUUACGCAAUGGCAGCCUAAACAGCACCAUGCGUGCCUGAUUUUUGCUCACUGAUGGCAAUUUGACGGCCUAAACUUUUAGUCAGAUACGUUGUUGUGGAGACUUGACGCAGCAAAAGAGAUUUAAAGUCCCGCAAAAUGUCGCUGUUUGAGACUGGCUUUGGCAUUUUGUUAAAUUUGAGAAAGUCCUAUGGUUGUAGACGUUGAUGUAGCAAGGUGUUUGGACAGGGGUUCGACUCCCCUCGCCUCCAUUG
Molecule: non-coding RNA, 359 nt
Organism: Lactococcus lactis
Lineage: Bacteria; Bacillati; Bacillota; Bacilli; Lactobacillales; Streptococcaceae
Rfam family: transfer-messenger RNA
About the family: Bacterial tmRNA, also known as 10Sa RNA or SsrA, is named for its dual tRNA and mRNA-like properties. Its role is to liberate the mRNA from a stalled ribosome. To accomplish this part of the tmRNA is used as a reading frame that ends in a translation stop signal.
Source: Rfam